UUUCUCCGAGCCUUUCGAGCCUUUGCUUCAACUCGCUUCUAAAUUAAAACAAAAUUUAUAUUUUCCUUCAAAUUUUAAUCGCAAUUCAAGUCAAUUUCAAAAUGUGCGGAGGCGGUUGUGGAGGCUGUGGCCCAUGCGGAGGCUGUGGCCCAUGCGGUGGUUGUGGACCCUGCUGCGUCUGUCCCACGCGCUACUUGAAGAGAUCAGAGGAGCAUAUGCCCUGUGUGUGGUGUGCACCAUGCAAAGCUCAUUGCUACAACACCCCACCCAAGUGCUGUUGCUAGAGGCCUAAGAGCUUUGCAUCGGUACGGAGUCUCCUUUAAGGAAAAUCUUAUAGCUAAAUACCAACUCCACUACUUAUCCUAUUCUUACUGUCGAAAAAUAAGAGGAAUUAUCCCAAGGUGAUGUGAGCUUCGGUUAAUAGUGAUUGUAAAACUGCGAAGAUCGUCAAUUUGGAAGCAGGUUGGACCUAAAAGGAUGGCAGAAGGCUUUUGAGCUUGAGCAUGGACUCUCGAAUAUCAGGCAUUACCAUAAGGCAUGGUAAAUACUAAGCCAAACUUCUAUCAACCGAGACUCUUGACUCGACUCAUUAAGAAGAAGGUGGCCUCUAUUCGUAUAAGCGCAUACGAAUGCGACCUGAUCGAAAACAAAGUGUCAAGCUCAUUUUAAAUUGUUAAAUUCAAAAUCUUCAAUUUUAUAAACAAUUCAGAAC
RNAcentral lists this small RNA (712 nucleotides) under Drosophila mojavensis. RNAcentral describes it as "GI27074". The record is from RNAcentral. Lineage: Eukaryota; Metazoa; Arthropoda; Insecta; Diptera; Drosophilidae.